UACAGAGGUGGCGAGUGUUGUUCGGAUUUACUGGGCGUAAAGGGUCCGCAGGCGGCUUUGUGUGUCAGAUGUGAAAGCCCACGGCUUAACCGUGGAAUGGCAUUUGAAACUACAGAGCUAGAGUACAGGAGAGGAUAGGGGAAUUCAUGGUGUAGCGGUGAAAUGCGUAGAUAUCAUGAAGAACACCGGUGGCGAAAGCGCCUAUCUGGACUGAUACUGACGCUCAGGGACGAAAGCCAGGGGAGCAAAGAGGAUUAGAUACCCUCGUAGUCCUGGCCAUAAACGGUGCGCACUUGAUGUGGGAGGUUUACCCCCUUCCGUGUCGAAGCUAACGCGAUAAGUGCGCCGCCUGGGAAGUACGGCCGCAAGGUUA
RNAcentral lists this ribosomal RNA (373 nucleotides) under uncultured prokaryote. RNAcentral's name for it is "bacterial SSU rRNA". It matches the Rfam family "Bacterial small subunit ribosomal RNA", at positions 524 to 896 of the family's 1533-position model. The record is from RNAcentral.